Molecule: ribosomal RNA, 255 nt
Filed under: uncultured bacterium
Lineage: Bacteria
Description: partial 16S ribosomal RNA
Rfam family: Bacterial small subunit ribosomal RNA
Source: RNAcentral
UACGUAGGGUGCGAGCGUUGUCCGGAAUUAUUGGGCGUAAAGGGCUCGUAGGCGGUUUGUCGCGUCGGGAGUGAAAACCAGGUGCUUAACACCGUGGCUUGGCUUUCGAUACGGGCAGACUAGAGGUAUGCAGGGGAGAACGGAAUUCCUGGUGUAGCGGUGAAAUGCGCAGAUAUCAGGAGGAACACCGGUGGCGAAGGCGGUUCUCUGGGCAUGACCUGACGCUGAGGAGCGAAAGUGUGGGGAGCGAACAGG